Molecule: long non-coding RNA, 106 nt
Filed under: Bos indicus x Bos taurus (hybrid cattle)
Lineage: Eukaryota; Metazoa; Chordata; Mammalia; Artiodactyla; Bovidae
Description: lncRNA (ENSBIXG00005005302.1)
Source: RNAcentral
UGAGUCGCUUUGAGCCACCCAGCAGCCCCCCUUCCUGCCACCUGCCAGGAUCAGGUUGGACAAGAAGAGAGGGAACAGCAGCCUGGCAGAUGCUGCCACGUGGUAU